RNAcentral lists this ribosomal RNA (378 nucleotides) under uncultured bacterium. Its description in RNAcentral is "bacterial SSU rRNA". It matches the Rfam family "Bacterial small subunit ribosomal RNA", at positions 30 to 410 of the family's 1533-position model. The record is from RNAcentral.
AUUGAACGCUGGCGGCAUGCUUUACACAUGCAAGUCGAACGGUAACAGGCCGCAAGGUGCUGACGAGUGGCGAACGGGUGAGUAAUGUAUCGGAACGUGCCCAGUCGUGGGGGAUAACGCAGCGAAAGCUGUGCUAAUACCGCAUACGAUCUAUGGAUGAAAGCGGGGGACCGUAAGGCCUCGCGCGAUUGGAGCGGCCGAUAUCAGAUUAGGUAGUUGGUGGGGUAAAGGCUCACCAAGCCAACGAUCUGUAGCUGGUCUGAGAGGACGACCAGCCACACUGGGACUGAGACACGGCCCAGACUCCUACGGGAGGCAGCAGUGGGGAAUUUUGGACAAUGGGCGCAAGCCUGAUCCAGCAAUGCCGCGUGCAGGACG